GCGGCCACAGCGGCAGGGAAACUCCUGUACCCAUUCCGAACACAGAAGAUAAGCCUGCCCACGUUCCGUACUGUACUAAAGUGCGCGAGCCUUUGGGAAAUACGGAUAGCUGCUAUGC
This 118-nucleotide ribosomal RNA is filed under the name Methanomethylovorans sp. Lineage: Archaea; Methanobacteriati; Methanobacteriota; Methanomicrobia; Methanosarcinales; Methanosarcinaceae. The record is from RNAcentral.